RNAcentral lists this ribosomal RNA (492 nucleotides) under uncultured bacterium. RNAcentral describes it as "partial 16S ribosomal RNA". It matches the Rfam family "Bacterial small subunit ribosomal RNA", at positions 29 to 507 of the family's 1533-position model. The record is from RNAcentral.
AGUGAACGCUGGCGGUAGGCCUAGCACAUGCAAGUCGAACGGCAGCACAGUAAGAGCUUGCUCUUACGGGUGGCGAGUGGCGGACGGGUGAGGAAUACAUCGGAAUCUACUUUUUCGUGGGGGAUAACGUAGGGAAACUUACGCUAAUACCGCAUACGACCUACGGGUGAAAGCAGGGGAUCUUCGGACCUUGCGCGAUUGAAUUAGCCGAUGUCGGAUUAGCUAGUUGGCGGGGUAAAGGCCCACCAAGGCGACGAUCCGUAGCUGGUCUGAGAGGAUGAUCAGCCACACUGGAACUGAGACACGGUCCAGACUCCUACGGGAGGCAGCAGUGGGGAAUAUUGGACAAUGGGCGCAAGCCUGAUCCAGCCAUACCGCGUGGGUGAAGAAGGCCUUCGGGUUGUAAAGCCCUUUUGUUGGGAAAGAAAAGCAGCAGGUUAAUACCCCGAUGUUCUGACGGUACCCAAAGAAUAAGCACCGGCUAACUUCGUG